This 244-nucleotide ribosomal RNA is filed under the name uncultured Staphylococcus sp. RNAcentral describes it as "partial 16S ribosomal RNA". It matches the Rfam family "Bacterial small subunit ribosomal RNA", at positions 96 to 334 of the family's 1533-position model. The record is from RNAcentral. Lineage: Bacteria; Bacillati; Bacillota; Bacilli; Caryophanales; Staphylococcaceae.
CGGCGGACGGGUGAGUAACACGUGGAUAACCUACCUAUAAGACUGGGAUAACUUCGGGAAACCGGAGCUAAUACCGGAUAAUAUAUUGAACCGCAUGGUUCAAUAGUGAAAGACGGUUUUGCUGUCACUUAUAGAUGGAUCCGCGCCGCAUUAGCUAGUUGGUAAGGUAACGGUUUACCAAGGCAACGAUGCGUAGCCGACCUGAGAGGGUGAUCGGCCACACUGGAACUGAGACACGGUCCAG